RNAcentral lists this long non-coding RNA (237 nucleotides) under Struthio camelus australis. RNAcentral describes it as "lncRNA (ENSSCUG00000001439.1)". The record is from RNAcentral. Lineage: Eukaryota; Metazoa; Chordata; Aves; Struthioniformes; Struthionidae.
GAGAUACUUCCUAGCAAGCUGUAUUUCCUUACCAAGGCUUCGCUGUAGCACUAAGUAGGUGCUGAAGAUUAGUCUGUGACUAAACUCUUUGGACUUCAUGUUUUAGAGGCGCGCAGAGGAGAAAGACACCUCUGCUGAGAGGUACACAAGCACCAAACUGCUGAGAGGGAAACCAGGUCCUGAGGAGGGUAAUUACAUAUUCUGGACAGUUGAUUUCAGUGAGGCAUUAGACCCUUG